RNAcentral lists this ribosomal RNA (398 nucleotides) under uncultured bacterium. RNAcentral's name for it is "bacterial SSU rRNA". It matches the Rfam family "Bacterial small subunit ribosomal RNA", at positions 358 to 773 of the family's 1533-position model. The record is from RNAcentral.
GGAAUAUUGGACAAUGGGCGCAAGCCUGAUCCAGCCAUGCCGCGUGUGUGUAGAAGGCCUUCGGGUUGUAAAGCCCUUUCGACGGGGACGAUGAUGACGGUACCCGGCGAAGAAGCACCGGCUAACCCCGUUCCAGCAGCCGCGGUAAGACGGAGGGUGCUAGCGUUGUUCGGAAUCACUGGGCGUAAAGGGCGCGUAGGCGGCCUUUGGUGUCGGAUGUGAAAGCCCGGGGCUCAACUCCGGAGGUGCAUCCGAAACUCGAAGGCUGGAGGCCGGAAGAGGAGGGUGGAAUACCCAGUGUAGAGGUGAAAUUCGUAGAUAUUGGGUGGAACACCGGUGGCGAAAGCGGCUCUCUGGUCCGGUCCUGACGCUGAGGCGCGAAAGCGUGGGGAGCAAAC